AAAAAGGGAAUUCUACAUAGCAUAACUAACUCUAUUACAUAUUUAUAUAUAGUAGCUAUAGUUUAAAAUAAUUACAUUCCAUAGCUAAAAGUUGUAUGUUAAUGACACUUAUUAGCUAUUAAGGUAAAAAUACAGAACUCUCUCCUCUUCCUCCUCUCUCUAACGUCUACAACUCUCUCUCUCUCUCUCUAACGUCCCUUCUGCUCUCUCUUCCAUUUUCUCUCUCCUUACCUCCACCACCAUGGCCGACGUCACCACCAUCCUCAGCUCCUUCCCCUUCUUAUCGAUCUCAAGAAAUAAGGAUGGAGGAAAAAGAAACAGAAUUGGGGAAGCUUACCGAGAACAUGGAGAAGAGCAAAAUGAGCCAUUAUGUAUCAAUUAAAAAGGGUCGAAUUAAGACACACACCUCAUUUUUCCUCCAGAUCUGUCACCACCAUCGGUACUGCUCCUUCCCCUUCUUUCUUCCGUCAUCAUCUUCUCCAGAUCUGUUGAAUUUUAUUUUUUGUAUUCAGUUUUUGAGUGUAUUCAUUAGUUGUUGUUGAGUGUAUUCGUUAGUUGUUGUUGAAUACAGUGAAUUUUGAAGUGUAUACAAAUGAAUAUAGUGAAAUUUAAUUCUUUGUA
Lycium ferocissimum is the source of this 621-nucleotide long non-coding RNA. RefSeq lists it as uncharacterized. Lineage: Eukaryota; Viridiplantae; Streptophyta; Magnoliopsida; Solanales; Solanaceae. The transcript is spliced from 2 exons. The record is from RefSeq and is a predicted model, not a curated record.